ACAGGGAGACAGAGCCUCAAACCUGAGACAAGGCCAGCCUGAACAGAAGCUGGACAGAUGCUAGGUAUUCACUGGGCACAACCCCUGGAGGCCAUGUAGGGAAGCACCCACAAGCACCCACAUUUGCAUGGUGUUCUAUAAACCUCAAAGCAUCUCGGCCUAUGUUUCAGCAUUUGCCUAAUACCACCCUUUGAGGUAGAUAGAGCAGGUAUGCCCUUUAUCUUUCUCAUUUUACAGACGAGAAACCCAAGGUUUCAGCAGUUUCUAUAACUUGCCCAAGGUCACAGAGCUAGUGAGAUGCAGAGUUGGGGUUCAAACCCACUUCUUCCGGCCUCCAGUCCAGUACCCUUUCCACCAUGCCCUGUUAACAAGCAUCUUUCCACUGAAGCUUCUCCUGAGGCUGAGGAGGAGAUAAGAUUCCGUUCAAGGUUAACCACAGCCUCUGAGUUGGAAGGACUGGGGUGGGGGCUGACCUAUCUGGACUGGAUUGUUGAUUUAGUGCUAGCUUGACCCCUUCAAUUAGCUGCUGGACAGAGCCAGGCCCAGGAGAGAUGAACAGCAGGGCUUAAUGGAAAUGGGGAUGCUGGUGAUGAUAUGAACAAUCUGAAUUAUGGUCUCAAUUUGCACAGAGCCUGAUAGAUUUGCAAUAAUUCCAAACCAGGUCAAGUGUCUGUGUCUCCUCUUUUGCUGAUCUCACACAAGGUAUCUCCAUUUGUCAGGCUCCGACUCCCUCUCUCCCAGAAGCUGCCCGCCCCCUCUUCCCCCCUGCUUUUGCAAAGUUUUCUGAGUUCCAUCUGCAGUACUCUGACCUGAGGGCACCUCUACAGCUGGGCCCAGAGGGACUGAAGCUGCUACUAGCAUGGCACGGUCCUGGGAGCUUUGAGGACACCCACAGAGACAGACGGUGCACACCGAGGGUUCCGCUGCUCAGGAACAGGCAUGGAGAAGAAAGUUGCACUUAGAAGCCCAACAGGAGUUUUGCAAGACAAAAGUUUAAUGAAAGGAGAGAAGAGCACAGAAACUGAAGUUGACCACCUGCACUCCUCCUUGGCCAACCUCGACAGAAAUCUAGAAUUCAAGGAACCAUUGCUGUGAUCCAUCAAGUCAGCCCCAGGAAAGAGAGCAGAGCUGAGAGGGCUGGAGAGAGAAUCUGGAGGAGCAAACGGAAAAUACCUGACUGGGUACCAACAUCCAGGAGAGGAUCCCUGUGUGUCAAGGAUCCUCAGAGGGACAACUAAUGCAUAACAACAGAUAAUGGGUCCACACUCCUUUCUGCCUCCUCCUGAUCGCAAAACCCACUACACACAUGUAAAUGCACCACACACACACAUGCCCACUACACACAGAUAUAUAUAUAUAGAUACACAUCCACACACAUAGGGAUACACAUACAUAGGGAUACACAUACACACAUACAUACAUGCACACAUUGCACAUGUGCACAAUGCAACAUACAUGCAUGUACACAUAUAAGCACACAUACAUAUGUGAACACAUGCACACACACAUACCCACACUUAAUCAUAGUCUGCACAUGGUAUCACUGCACACUGCUCAGGCUCCUCCAGAUCAGUCAGAAAUUAUAGGAGAUAAAACCAACAGAAUUUAAACAAAGACAAGAAAGACCUGGAAUGAUGUGCAGACUUGUCUAAUUAUUGCUAUUUUUAGAACUCAUACUGCAAGUGGUAGAAAAGAAUGGGGGUGGGGGCUGCUGACCAAAGAGAUUGCUUCAUUAUUGGAAACAGAAGAUAAGUAGGCUGAAGAGGGUGAUUGGAAAGUUGAGAACAGGGAGGCAGUUCUUCCCCUCUCCCCUCCACCCCCAUGUCUCCCUCUCCCAUUCCAGGAGCUGAGCACUAGGAGAAAGAAGGGCACAUGAGACCAGAUGAUGGAAGCUGACCUGGCUUUCCACUCUGGCUACAGACUUUCUGGAUGUGUGACCUCGAAUAUGUUCCUGAGGGCCACCUCUAGCCUAUAAGGUGUCUUUGUGCAAAUAGAAGACACCCCUUUGCACAAGUAAAUAAGAGAAUAUUCUGGUUGGAUGCAGCAUCUCAUAGUUCCUGAUCUGGCAAACAGUGCAUGGCUGAAUUUCCACCCUCCCAACAGUACAUUUGUGCAGCAUCCCAGCUACCCAACCACAUGCAGCAAGCAGGUGUCACUUCACAUCUGUAGACCCCUGCUUGUCCUCUCCAUAAGUGAAGAUAAUAUCUGCAAAACAGGGAGAUCCAACACAGGAGACAAAAUGCAAGGCGAGAACCAAUAAUUAAAAAAAAGAAAAAGUCAUUCAAGGUCUUAGGGUGCAGGCCACCCAGGACAAAGACUGGGAGGAGCAUGGGUUCUCUGCCACAUGUGAGGGGGCAGUGAAGACCAAUUCUGAUUGAUAUCUUAGAGUAGGAAGUUGGAGGAUUUAGGGAUACCCAGUGACUGAAUUCUAGGUUACAUCAUCGCUAUCAUUAAUUUCUUGACAUAGAAGCUGACCAGCUCUCAGCAUUUCGUAAUCAUUGCAGAGUGCAGGCUAGGGGCUCUGGGGCUCCAGCCCUGCCAGUCUGUAAUUGAUGUAGGUUAACUCUAUUCUCCAGUUUCCUCAUCUGUAGAAUCAGGUAACUGAUGUACUUCUUUCACAGAGGAAUUACAAAAAUAAAACAGAAUAAUAUCUGUGAAA
RNAcentral lists this long non-coding RNA (2659 nucleotides) under Homo sapiens (human). RNAcentral's name for it is "HSALNT0181205". Lineage: Eukaryota; Metazoa; Chordata; Mammalia; Primates; Hominidae. The record is from RNAcentral.